AAGUCGUAACAAGGUUUCCGUAGGUGAACCUGCGGAAGGAUCAUUAUUGAAAAGCUUUGGAGUUUACUGUUGCUGGCCUUUUAACGAGGGCAUGUGCACGUAUCUCUAAUCUAUUCCAUCCACCUGUGCACUUUUUGUAGAGGUUCUUGAGAUUUGGCUUAUAGGUUUCUGACCUUGCAGCUGAUUUGAAAGGCUUCUAUGUUUUUACAAACCAUUAUAAGCAUGUCUAGAAUGUUCUUUUAUUGGGACUUCAUUGACCCUUUAAAAUCUAUACAACUUUCAGCAACGGAUCUCUUGGCUCUCCCAUCGAUGAAGAACGCAGCGAAAUGCGAUAAGUAAUGUGAAUUGCAGAAUUCAGUGAAUCAUCGAAUCUUUGAACGCACCUUGCGCCCUCUGGUAUUCCGGAGGGCAUGCCUGUUUGAGUGUCAUUAAAUUCUCAACUUCAAUAGUCUGUAAUGAACUUGUUGAAGCUUGGAUGUUGGAGGCUUGCUGGCGUCUCAGAUGUUCGGCUCCUCUUAAAUGCAUUAGUGGAUCCCGUUUUGUUGGGCUACUUUGGUGUGAUAAUUAUCUACACUUUGGUCAGUUCAAUGAACUCUAUGGGCAUUUCUCAGAACUCUUGUUCUGGUUUGGGUUUUUGCAUUAGUUUGCUUUACCUGGUUCAUUAGAGUAGGGCUUGUCUGCUUUCAAACUGUCUGUGAAUGCGGACAAUCUUUGACUAUUUGACCUCAAAUCAGGUAGGACUACCCGCUGAACUUAAGCAUAUCAAUAAGCGGAGGAAAAGAAACUAACAAGGAUUCCCCUAGUAACUGCGAGUGAAGAGGGAAAAGCUCAAAUUUAAAAUCUGGCGGUCUCUGGCCUGUCCGAGUUGUAAUUUAGAGAAGUGUUACCCGUUGUUGGGCCGUGUACAAGUCUCCUGGAAUGGAGCGUCAUAGAGGGUGAGAAUCCCGUCUUUGACACGGACUCCAAUGCGUUGUGGUAUGCUCUCAAAGAGUCGAGUUGUUUGGGAAUGCAGCUCUAAAUGGGUGGUAAAUUCCAUCUAAAGCUAAAUAUUGGGGAGAGACCGAUAGCGAACAAGUACCGUGAGGGAAAGAUGAAAAGAACUUUGGAAAGAGAGUUAAACAGUACGUGAAAUUGCUGAAAGGGAAACGCUUGAAGUCAGUCGCGUUAGCUGGGGAUCAGCCUUCCUUUUGGUUGGUGUACUUCCCAGUUGACGGGUCAGCAUCAGUUUUGACCAGUGGAUAAGAACUUGAGGAAUGUGGCAUCUUCGGGUGUGUUAUAGCCUCUUGUUGUAUACAUUGGUUGGGACUGAGGAACUCAGUACGCCGCAAGGCCGGGUUUUAACCACGUUCGUACUAGGA
This 1358-nucleotide ribosomal RNA is filed under the name uncultured Agaricales. RNAcentral describes it as "eukaryotic LSU rRNA". The stretch from base 721 to 1358 matches the Rfam family "Eukaryotic large subunit ribosomal RNA", at positions 1 to 623 of the family's 3401-position model. Lineage: Eukaryota; Fungi; Basidiomycota; Agaricomycetes; Agaricales. The record is from RNAcentral.